This 275-nucleotide ribosomal RNA is filed under the name uncultured Peredibacter sp. RNAcentral describes it as "partial 16S ribosomal RNA". It matches the Rfam family "Bacterial small subunit ribosomal RNA", at positions 338 to 604 of the family's 1533-position model. The record is from RNAcentral. Lineage: Bacteria; Pseudomonadati; Bdellovibrionota; Bacteriovoracia; Bacteriovoracales; Bacteriovoracaceae.
CCUACGGGUGGCUGCAGUAGGGAAUAUUGCGCAAUGGGGGAAACCCUGACGCAGCAACGCCGCGUGAGUGAGGAAGGUCUUCGGAUUGUAAAACUCUGUUCUUAGGGAAAAAUGAUAUUAUGGCUAAUAUCCAUAGUAAGUGAUGGUACCUAAGUAGAAAGCACCGGCUAACUUCGUGCCAGCAGCCGCGGUAAUACGAAGGGUGCAAGCGUUGUUCGGAAUCAUUGGGCGUAAAGCGCGCGCAGGCGGAUUAAUAAGUCAGGUGUGAAAUCUCG